RNAcentral lists this long non-coding RNA (349 nucleotides) under Mytilus galloprovincialis (Mediterranean mussel). Lineage: Eukaryota; Metazoa; Mollusca; Bivalvia; Mytilida; Mytilidae. The record is from RNAcentral.
AUUAUUCAUCUUGAAUUUUGAAUUAAGGAUUUAACUAACACUUUUCAGUAUUGAUUUUUUUUUAAAAUAAAAUUCGAAAAUCUUUGCAAAGAAAAUGUUUACGAUAUUUUUAUCUAUUAAGUUAAUAUACCUUGCUCAAUCUCUGGAAACACUCCUCGUAGUUGAAACGGGGUUUUGAUCCCCAAGGACGCCACAUUUUGCAAUAAAUUUUAUCUAUAUUUUUGAACGUUUUCAAAUGAGAUGAUUUGAAUGAAAAUUUCCCAACUUUAUGUAGAUUUCUCAUAUUUCUCAACUGGCUUCAAUUAUUACAAACAAAACUAAAAGUUUAUUUAACAUUUUUUUCCAAAAC